UUUUCUUCACAUAAAAGCACCCCUUUUUGUCUUUCUUUCACCAUUGUUGCAAGCUUUUCAAUGAAUUUUUAUUUUCAUCAAAUGAAAAAUUAACUUGAGCAAAUUCAACAGUGGACUAAAUACAAGUACAUGAUCACAAAAAUACAUCAAUACACAAAAUCACAAAUCCAAAUUCUUUCACAUUAACUAAAAUCCAAAAUCCCAAAACUCUCAAAUUUUCAAUCUUUUACUCAAAAAUGUCUACAGAAAUGGUAUAAACAGUCCCAAAUUCAGAAGUGGCAUAGAUGGUAUUCGCAUGACAUGAAAUUCUUGGCCUAGAACCAAACUUGUUCAUCAAUCUUGAAGCUCUCUUGAUUGUCGAAAAAUAAAAUUUUAGAUCAAUUAGAACUUGAUAGGAAGGGGAUUACGAAGAAACGGGGUAAGGAUAUGAAGAAGGUGAAGAAAUGGAGUGUUAGGAGGUGGAGUGGGAAUGGAAAAGGGGAGUGAGAAGAAGAUGAAAAUGUCUUCUGAUGAAGAAGACAUGCCCUUU
Molecule: long non-coding RNA, 529 nt
Filed under: Capsicum annuum
Lineage: Eukaryota; Viridiplantae; Streptophyta; Magnoliopsida; Solanales; Solanaceae
Description: long non-coding RNA (CANN_LNC007285)
Source: RNAcentral